Molecule: ribosomal RNA, 456 nt
Filed under: uncultured bacterium
Lineage: Bacteria
Description: bacterial SSU rRNA
Rfam family: Bacterial small subunit ribosomal RNA
Source: RNAcentral
UACGGGAGGCAGCAGUGGGGAAUAUUGCACAAUGGGCGAAAGCCUGAUGCAGCUAUGCCGCGUGUAUGAAGAAGGCCUUAGGGUUGUAAAGUACUUUCAUCGGGGAGGAAAAAACAAAACUAAUAAUUUUAUUUCUUGACGUUACCCGAAAAAGAAGCACCGGCUAACUCCGUGCCAGCAGCCGCGGUAAUACGGAGGGUGCUAGCGUUAAUCAGAAUUACUGGGCGUAAAGAGCACGUAGGUGGUUUUUUUAAGUCAGAUGUGAAAUCCCUGGGCUUAACCUAGGAACUGCAUUUUGAAACUGAAAUACUAGAGUAUCGUAGAGGGAGGUAGAAUUCUAGGUGUAGCGGUGAAAUGCGUAGAUAUCUGGAGGAAUACCUGUGGCGAAAGCGGCCUCCUAAACGAAUACUGACACUGAGGGUGCGAAAGCGUGGGGAGCAAACAGGGAUUAAUACC